GAUGAACGCUGGCGGCGUGCCUAACACAUGCAAGUCGUACGAGAAAUCCUGGGCAACUGGGAAAGUAAAGUGGCGCACGGGUGAGUAACGCGUGGGUAACCUACCCUUGGAUUUGGGAUAACUCCGCGAAAGCGGGGUUAAUACCGGAUGAUAUUCCGAUUUCUACGGGGAUUGGAAUCAAAGGUGGCCUCUGCAUGCAAGCUACUGUCUAAGGAUGGGCCCGCGUACCAUUAGCUAGUUGGGAGGGUAAUGGCCUACCAAGGCAACGAUGGUUAGCUGGUCUUAGAGGAUGGCCAGCCACACUGGAACUGAGACACGGUCCAGACUCCUACGGGUGGCAG
RNAcentral lists this ribosomal RNA (341 nucleotides) under uncultured Pseudomonadota bacterium. Its description in RNAcentral is "bacterial SSU rRNA". It matches the Rfam family "Bacterial small subunit ribosomal RNA", at positions 28 to 351 of the family's 1533-position model. The record is from RNAcentral. Lineage: Bacteria; Pseudomonadati; Pseudomonadota.